AUCAUGUCAAGGUAGGUGGAACUGUUUCUCAGGAUUCCUUGCCAUGUCUGGUUCUGGAUUAGGGUUGGCCAGAAGAGGAUUUUGCACAGGAUUUAGGAGCAGAAGUGACCGGUGGCCUUUGCCCUCUGAAGGUCAGUGAAGAGUCGCUCCUGGUGACCCUCACCUUGCUGGCUCACUUAUUGUCACAGGACUGCAGGUGUUUACAAGUACUACUGGACAAAUGCUUGACCGCGGGCCACCAAAUGACCAUGUGACCUGAGCCACCUAUCAGGAACGGGGUGUUGCCCACUAACAAGAACUGAGGCCCAGAGAAAGAAAAGAAUUAUCCCAAAGUCACAUGGCGAGGAGGUAUAAAGAAUCAUGGUUGGAGCCAGAUCUGCCUGCUUUUGGAGCCUGUAACACACACACAAACUCUUCAAGAAAUCAAAGAAAAACUGGCAGUCCUGCAUUUUCAUGUUUAGUGACUACAUUUGUGAAGAAUGGGGACAAGUGUUAGAAGGAGAGGAGUCAUUGGUGUCAGUGGGGCACCAACUAGAAUAGUGGCUUCAUGGGAGAAGCAAGCUCCACUCCCCUGACCAACGGCUGCUGGGCAUGUGUAGCAUCUGGGGUCUGCAAUGGAAGAGGUGGGUGUCAGCACCCAUGCAGAUCACCACCUGCAGUCUCCACUGAAGUGGUUGGCAGUGGCACCACCGUUCCUUCAUUCAUUCACUCAACAUGUGUGAGCGCUUGCCGUGUUCCAAGGAGGGUAUCAGACACAGGAGGUCUCUGCUUGUAUAUCUCCUUCGAGAAUUAAAUGGGCCAAUGCAAGUCUGAGGCUUCAUACUGCUUGUCCGUUGUAAGUGCUCAGUAGAUCUACUAAUGACAGCACCUAAUCUUCAUGACAAAUUACACAUGUUCGAGAUCCAGCAGUAUUAGGCACCAACUGGAACCAUAAGAUGCCCUCACAGCAGCUCCUCCAGGACAGAGGCUAUGAUCACCUCCAUUUCACAGGUGAGGAAACUGAGGCAUGAAGAGGUCAAGUAACUUGCUCAGGGUUAUACAGUUUAAUGAAAGAUUCCUCCGUACCCCACUGUGGCUGAUUGAUUCAGGGGUGGAGAUCCCUUUCUCAGCCAGGCUAGUCCAGCAUCUCCUUCUGGGAAAUGUAAAUUUACCUGGAGAUUUGCAAGUCGGGGAGGGUGAUGGGGUGAGCCCCCUUGAAGCUCUCGGGAGGACCUUGAACCUGGGCUGCUGCAUUUCCUGCUGUGCCCCAGUUCUGCGGCUCCCAAGACCUGGAAACUCAGUUCUGUCAGCUUCCUAGUAUCUUUCUAGAAACCCUUCCCCCUUUGUUUUUCAAGUAUCCACAAUCAGAUUCUUUAUUUGCAACCACAAUAAUUUUAAUGAGGAUACCUCUGUCAAAUUAGAAAUUUAGAGAGUCAGUCUGGACGUUUAUUUUUGGAAAAGGCUUCUGGAGUGACUGUGCCUAUGGUUAAGAAACACUGCUGAAAAUGACUGAGAAACUGUACUUCAUGCAUAUUAAAAGGUUCUUAACUGCAAUAUGACAUUUCUGCAUAA
This is a long non-coding RNA of Camelus dromedarius (Arabian camel), 1551 nucleotides long. RefSeq lists it as uncharacterized. The record is from RefSeq and is a predicted model, not a curated record. The transcript is spliced from 3 exons. NCBI's taxonomy places the organism in Eukaryota, Metazoa, Chordata, Mammalia, Artiodactyla, Camelidae.